Molecule: long non-coding RNA, 190 nt
Organism: Xiphophorus couchianus (Monterrey platyfish)
Lineage: Eukaryota; Metazoa; Chordata; Actinopteri; Cyprinodontiformes; Poeciliidae
Exons: 2
Source: RefSeq, a predicted model, not a curated record
UCCAACUGCAGUAUUGGUAUGAGGAAAAUAAUCCAAAUUCUAGUAAGAGACAAAGGUGAACUGGGUUCACUUCCUUCUUGGAAACCUUUCUGAGUAAGAUGAUACCUCCGCGUUGUCAUGCACGCUUGUCAUUAAAUAGUGUUAUCAUCACUGAGAUGUCUAGACACUGAGAACUUCCCUCAUAAAUACC